Molecule: ribosomal RNA, 839 nt
Filed under: Streptomyces sp. 0112ALTPS87
Lineage: Bacteria; Bacillati; Actinomycetota; Actinomycetes; Kitasatosporales; Streptomycetaceae
Description: bacterial SSU rRNA
Rfam family: Bacterial small subunit ribosomal RNA
Source: RNAcentral
ACGAUGAAGCCCUUCGGGGUGGAUUAGUGGCGAACGGGUGAGUAACACGUGGGCAAUCUGCCCUUCACUCUGGGACAAGCCCUGGAAACGGGGUCUAAUACCGGAUACCACUCCUGCCUGCAUGGGCGGGGGUUGAAAGCUCCGGCGGUGAAGGAUGAGCCCGCGGCCUAUCAGCUUGUUGGUGGGGUAAUGGCCCACCAAGGCGACGACGGGUAGCCGGCCUGAGAGGGCGACCGGCCACACUGGGACUGAGACACGGCCCAGACUCCUACGGGAGGCAGCAGUGGGGAAUAUUGCACAAUGGGCGAAAGCCUGAUGCAGCGACGCCGCGUGAGGGAUGACGGCCUUCGGGUUGUAAACCUCUUUCAGCAGGGAAGAAGCGAAAGUGACGGUACCUGCAGAAGAAGCGCCGGCUAACUACGUGCCAGCAGCCGCGGUAAUACGUAGGGCGCAAGCGUUGUCCGGAAUUAUUGGGCGUAAAGAGCUCGUAGGCGGCUUGUCACGUCGGAUGUGAAAGCCCGAGGCUUAACCUCGGGUCUGCAUUCGAUACGGGCUAGCUAGAGUGUGGUAGGGGAGAUCGGAAUUCCUGGUGUAGCGGUGAAAUGCGCAGAUAUCAGGAGGAACACCGGUGGCGAAGGCGGAUCUCUGGGCCAUUACUGACGCUGAGGAGCGAAAGCGUGGGGAGCGAACAGGAUUAGAUACCCUGGUAGUCCACGCCGUAAACGUUGGGAACUAGGUGUUGGCGACAUUCCACGUCGUCGGUGCCGCAGCUAACGCAUUAAGUUCCCCGCCUGGGGAGUACGGCCGCAAGGCUAAAACUCAAAUGAUUUGAACGGGGA